Molecule: ribosomal RNA, 385 nt
Filed under: Cardinium endosymbiont of Siphoninus phillyreae
Lineage: Bacteria; Pseudomonadati; Bacteroidota; Cytophagia; Cytophagales; Amoebophilaceae
Description: bacterial SSU rRNA
Rfam family: Bacterial small subunit ribosomal RNA
Source: RNAcentral
AGGCUACGAUGGGUAGGGGUUCUUAGUGGAAGAUCCCCCACACUGGCACUGAGAUACGGGCCAGACUCCUACGGGAGGCAGCAGUAGGGAAUAUUGGUCAAUGGGCGAAAGCCUGAACCAGCCAUGCCGCGUGCAGGAUGACAGCUCUCUGAGUUGUAAACUGCUUUUGUACAGGAGCAAAACAAUCCCUGCGGGGGUUCUUGAGAGUACUGUAAGAAUAAGCACCGGCUAAUUCCGUGCCAGCAGCCGCGGUAAUACGGAAGGUGCAAGCGUUAUCCGGUUUUAUUGGGUUUAAAGGGUGCGUAGGCGGCUUAUUAAGUCAGUUGUGAAAUCCUAGUGCUUAACGCUAGAACUGCAAUUGAUACUAUUAGGCUUGAGUUAAGAA